GGCACCAAACCUCUAUGAGAAAGUAGUGCCCUGUGUUGUCAGUGAGUCAAAGAUGCCCUGUACAUACCUUCAUGGUACUGUCAUUGAGAGGAAGAGAACAUGAUGAGCUAUUGAAAAACCCUGGAACUUCUUGCAUAUCAAAACUUGGGACAAAUUUAAUUUACAGAGAUGCUUAGAGCUUACUAUAUUAUUGAAUCCAACAGAAUUAUGUUGCUCUUGACUAACAGAAAUAUUUUAUUUAGCAAUAUAUAAAUUCUCAGAAAUUCCUUCCUAACUGAAAACCCUGCCACAAAAGCCAGUAAAAUUUAGUUUAAGGCAAUAUAAACCAUUGUUUAUCCAAUAAAUUAUGAAGUGUUCCAAAUAAGAAAAAGGAGAAUAUCUUUUCUUUUUUAUUUGACACAUGGUGUUGUAUUUAUUUUGGAGCUCCAAUCUCCACUAAAUUCAGGUCCAUCAUACUGCCUCAUAGUAUUAAACUCAUCAGAACAUGCUGAUUUUUCUCCAGCCUGAGCUACAUGAAGGAAAUGAAGCAUGGAAAUGGAGAAAUAAUAGUAAAGCAAUUGAGCCCUGUUGCAGUUCACAUCUCAAGGAGGAGCACAGCUACAAGGACAUAUAAAUUGUUCUUCUGAGCCAUUAGAAUGUCAAAACAUUGGAAUAAAAUAUUUGUAUUUUAGAAAGACUUCAGAGCGAAUUGAGAUUUUCUUUGAUGCAAGAAUUAUUUUUCAAGGUCAUGAGUUCUACAUGCUCCAAAGACUUUCAAGAACCCAACCUUUCUUGUUGCAAACAUAUUGAGUAAAAUACUGAUUUCUUAAAAAUCUUAAACAAUAUAAUGUUAUAAAGAUUAAAAUCCAUCUUUAAGUUCUGAUGCAAAUAUGUCCCUCAAGAAUUAACCAAGCAAUGUAUGAUUUCUAUGUGGUUUAGAUUUGUCAAAGGAAGGAAGGCAAUUGCAAGUCAUCAUAUUGUUUAAGUCUGAGAUGAGCUUCUUAGAGUAUGACUUUCAUGACCAAAAUGAUAUUUCUACCUAUUAUUUUUCCUAGGUUAAUACUAGCCUAAUGUGCAUAUAUAUUCAAGUAACAAUGGAUUUAUUAUUUUCCUUCCUUUCUCUUUUGAAAAUAAUUCAUUGUUGGGUUCCUAAUACAUUUACAGAUAGUAAACACUGUAUAGAGAAUCAUGUUCUAAAAGUGCUUUUUGAAAGGCAGACAGUGAAAUUAGAAUAUUAAUAUGUUGAUUACACAAAGAACUACGUCGGAUUCUGUAAACUUGCAGCCCAACUUUAGAAAUGAAGUAUGUAAAAGUGACCUUCAGCUUCAUAAAAAUAGAUAAUCCAAUAAAUUUGAUUACCUGCAAACAGUUCUUUAAUUUGAAUAAAGUUUUGUAAACAUUGUUUUAUAACUAUAUAGAUAUGCUUCUUGCUGUAUUAAUAUGCAUAUAUAUUUUAAAAAAUUAUAACAGUGAAAUAUACUGUUCAUAACUUUUAAUCACACAUGCAAGUUUUUCAAAUUAAGAAAAAAAAAAACAGUGUAUUUGACCAGUUUAAUAAAAUCAGAAUGUGGUGCAGGAAUUACAUAGAUGUUAAAUCAGCAAGGUGCUGAGAAUACAGUUUGUAAUAAUCCCGUUGUUGUCUGCAAGAAGAUGAAAUAGUUUAGUACAUUUGGAUUAUGUUGUCAAAACUGCUGAUUGUUGCACAUAUCACUAAACGGGGGUGUGGAUGUAUUUUAGAAAAGGAACACAUAUCAUUCACCCUUCUUUUUCUGCUUUUAAAAUGUGUGUUUUUUCUCAUUAAUUUUUUCAAAUGUUUACCAGUGAUAGAUUGGAAAAAGAAAGGUUCACAUUUAAAUAAUAAUUUAAAAUUAUUGCAUAUACCCAAUUGCUAUUUAUGUGCAGAUGAUUAUAUCAAUGAGGUAUUAAAUUUGAUUCAGUGGUUUUUUUUUUAAUUUAAAAAAAUUUCUUAAGAUGGCUGGAAGAAUGUUCCUAAAAUAGGUAGUGUUUACAUGAAGUCGUCUAAGCUUAAUUGUAAGAGUAGUAAAUGUUCUGCCGUUGCUUAUUUUAGUUUUCUUUUUUAUUCUGAAAACUAAUGCUAUAUAUGAUGACUGACAAUACUUGAGAUAUAUGCUUUGUUUUAAAAACAGAGAUUGAAGAGUUGAUUGAUAAAAUUAAUAUUAAAUCUAUUUGGAAAAUUCUCCAAAAAUCAUUUAAAUAAAUAUAUAUUAUCAAGUUGCUUAAAUUCAGUAUUAUACUGAAACCAACUAGAAUGAGCUCACAAGAACUAAUUAUGCAUAUCUCUUCCCAACUCCAGGUACAGUGAUAUCAUUUUGGUAUGUUGAUGUCAGCCUUGGUGGGAUUAUUUCGACCACAACAGUAAUUAGCAAACACUACCCUUUUCUCUGGAGAACAAGUUGUUAAACAUUUACCAGCACUCUACUGCUUAAAUUAUUUUAUAAAAGGACAUGUGAUAAUUGUAAAUAUGUUAUGAAUUUAUAUGAUUUAAAAUAAUGACAUGAAAGGAAUUUAUGCUAUAUUUUACUACUAAAUAUCAAUGCAUAUGGUAGUGAUUUCCUGACGUGAAAUCCUUGGAGCUACUUGUAGACAGGGAGAGGAUUCACUUCUUUAUGGAAAACAAUGGCUAAAUUUUAAGUAGAGAUAAUAGUUCAGGAAGUCAAUAUAUUUAAAUAUUUUCCGCUUGUCCAUAUAGGAGCAUCAAUAGAAACUCAGGGUGUGCCAAAUUAUGCCCAUUUUGAACAGUUUAAUUUAUUGAAAAAUCAGAUGCAUUUUACUUGUUACUGUCUAUGUCAAGGAAAAACACCCAAGCCCUUAAUCUGAAAUGUCACCAUUGCAUUGUUUAAAAUCAGCAUAAAAAUAUAAAAAUCAAAUCUUAAGAAAAUGGAUUUCUGGAGAUCAAACCUAAAUUAUCAAUCUCAAUUCACAAAUUAGUCUCUCAAAGAAAUAUUCCUAGAUCAGUCAACUAAAGGAACAAAAUCAAGAAAAAAUUAGGUAGUAAUUUACAGGCAAUAAGUAGAUUUUUCUACAAGCAAUCACCAGAUCGGGGAUCUGGUAAAUAUCUUGAUUUGCCAGGAAGUUUCGCUUAUGACUACAAUUGAGAUUAGUUGUCUACAAGAUACAUGCAGGAGGUAGUAGUGGUUAAGUGAUGGUAGCUGCCUUUUCACUCUGCGCUCUGAGGAUGUUUUACAUUAUUUUAUCUUGAUGCACAAUUACAUUUACUACAUUGGAUGAUAGACAUAGGCAAUUAUUUUCAUGUCAACGGCAUAGUUACACAAUGUAGGAAUGAUAUUUGUGAUAUGACCCACAUGCCCAAGAAAUGCAAAUGCAAAUAGUGUUAGCAUUUAUAUUGAAAUAUAAAAUCUACAGGAGCUUAAAAUAAACUAAGCUAAACACACUGCAAGAAGCUAAAUGAUUUAGUUUAAACAUGUUAAAGUUUUAAAGCACUAGCUGUAAAUAUUAAUCUUCAGAUUUUCAAUUUAACAUAUAUUCGCUUACAAACUGUUCUAAUAAUAACCCUAAUUAUUUUCCAAGUCACCAUUUAAAGUUUUAUUUACAGUUGACCUAAUCAAAUUAAAGUUGAUGAAAGCUUCAACUUAUUUUUUAACUCUUUCUGGUCAACGAUGCAUGGAGGCAGGUGAAAUAUAUAUGACAACUAAUAGAUAAACCAAUUUAUUUUAUGUUAGUGUAUGUUAAUUUUUAAUUAUGAAUAAUGUAUAUUGUGUGUAUAUAUGAUGGUGUAUGAAAGUUGGCAAUGAAAGCUAAUACAAUCAU
Molecule: long non-coding RNA, 3768 nt
Filed under: Macaca fascicularis (crab-eating macaque)
Lineage: Eukaryota; Metazoa; Chordata; Mammalia; Primates; Cercopithecidae
Description: lncRNA (ENSMFAG00000057602.1)
Source: RNAcentral